This 436-nucleotide ribosomal RNA is filed under the name uncultured bacterium. RNAcentral describes it as "partial 16S ribosomal RNA". It matches the Rfam family "Bacterial small subunit ribosomal RNA", at positions 29 to 507 of the family's 1533-position model. The record is from RNAcentral.
AGCGAACGCUGGCGGCAGGCUUAACACAUGCAAGUCGAGCGGGCAUCCUUGUGGUGUCAGCGGCAGACGGGUGAGUAACGCGUGGGAACGUGCCCUUCGGUUCGGAAUAACUCAGGGAAACUUGAGCUAAUACCGGAUACGCCCUUUUGGGGAAAGGUUUACUGCCGAAGGAUCGGCCCGCGUCUGAUUAGCUAGUUGGUGAGGUUAUGGCUCACCAAGGCGACGAUCAGUAGCUGGUCUGAGAGGAUGAUCAGCCACACUGGGACUGAGACACGGCCCAGACUCCUACGGGAGGCAGCAGUGGGGAAUAUUGGACAAUGGGGGCAACCCUGAUCCAGCCAUGCCGCGUGAGUGAUGACGGCCUUAGGAUUGUAAAGCUCUUUUCUCCGGGACGAUAAUGACGGUACCGGAGGAAUAAGCCCCGGCUAACUUCGUG